Molecule: ribosomal RNA, 1023 nt
Filed under: Acinetobacter radioresistens
Lineage: Bacteria; Pseudomonadati; Pseudomonadota; Gammaproteobacteria; Moraxellales; Moraxellaceae
Description: bacterial SSU rRNA
Rfam family: Bacterial small subunit ribosomal RNA
Source: RNAcentral
UCAGAUGAACGCUGGCGGCAGGCUUAACACAUGCAAGUCGAGCGGAUGAAGGUAGCUUGCUACCGGAUUCAGCGGCGGACGGGUGAGUAAUGCUUAGGAAUCUGCCUAUUAGUGGGGGACAACGUUCCGAAAGGAGCGCUAAUACCGCAUACGUCUACGGGAGAAAGCAGGGGACCUUUGGGCCUUGCGCUAAUAGAUGAGCCUAAGUCGGAUUAGCUAGUUGGUAGGGUAAAGGCCUACCAAGGCGACGAUCUGUAGCGGGUCUGAGAGGAUGAUCCGCCACACUGGGACUGAGACACGGCCCAGACUCCUACGGGAGGCAGCAGUGGGGAAUAUUGGACAAUGGGGGGAACCCUGAUCCAGCCAUGCCGCGUGUGUGAAGAAGGCCUUUUGGUUGUAAAGCACUUUAAGCGAGGAGGAGGCUACCUAGAUUAAUACUUUAGGAUAGUGGACGUUACUCGCAGAAUAAGCACCGGCUAACUCUGUGCCAGCAGCCGCGGUAAUACAGAGGGUGCGAGCGUUAAUCGGAUUUACUGGGCGUAAAGCGUGCGUAGGCGGCCAAUUAAGUCAAAUGUGAAAUCCCCGAGCUUAACUUGGGAAUUGCAUUCGAUACUGGUUGGCUAGAGUAUGGGAGAGGAUGGUAGAAUUCCAGGUGUAGCGGUGAAAUGCGUAGAGAUCUGGAGGAAUACCGAUGGCGAAGGCAGCCAUCUGGCCUAAUACUGACGCUGAGGUACGAAAGCAUGGGGAGCAAACAGGAUUAGAUACCCUGGUAGUCCAUGCCGUAAACGAUGUCUACUAGCCGUUGGGGCCCUUGAGGCUUUAGUGGCGCAGCUAACGCGAUAAGUAGACCGCCUGGGGAGUACGGUCGCAAGACUAAAACUCAAAUGAAUUGACGGGGGCCCGCACAAGCGGUGGAGCAUGUGGUUUAAUUCGAUGCAACGCGAAGAACCUUACCUGGCCUUGACAUACAGAGAACUUUCCAGAGAUGGAUUGGUGCCUUCGGGAACUCUGAUACAGGUGCUG